GGGGGUAUAGCUCAGCUGGGAGAGCAGCAGACUGAAGUAGUGUUCAUUGCUCUUUAAGUUCAUUCUGAAGGUCCCGCGUUCGAUCCGCGGUACCCCCA
Stygiomarasmius scandens is the source of this 98-nucleotide non-coding RNA. The record is from the annotation of a GenBank genome assembly. NCBI's taxonomy places the organism in Eukaryota, Fungi, Basidiomycota, Agaricomycetes, Agaricales, Campanellaceae.